AGGGUUUGAUCAUGGCUCAGGACGAACGCUGGCGGCGUGCCUAACACAUGCAAGUCGAACGAGUCCAGUCCUUCGGGACUGAGGCGAGUGGCGGACGGGUGAGUAACACGUGAGCAAUCUAUCCUGUUGCGGGGGACAACGAGGGGAAACCUUCGCUAAUACCGCAUGGUCGAGAGAUCCGCAUGGGUCUUUCGGGAAACGUGGCCUCUUUACAAUGCUACGGUGGCAGGAGGAGCUCGCGGGCUAUCAGCUAGUUGGUGAGGUAACGGCUCACCAAGGCUACGACGGCUACGGGGUCUGAGAGGACGACCCCGCACAUUGGAACUGAGACACGGUCCAGACUCCUACGGGAGGCAGCAGUGGGGAAUAUUGGGCAAUGGCCGAAGGGCUGACCCAGCGACGCCGCGUGUGGGAGGAAGCCCUUCGGGGUGUAAACCACUGUCAGGAGGGACGAAAGAGCUGCAGGUGAAUAAUCUGUGGCAGUGACGGUACCUUCAAAGGAAGCACCGGCUAACUCUGUGCCAGCAGCCGCGGUAAUACAGAGGGUGCAAGCGUUGUUCGGAAUUACUGGGCGUAAAGCGCGCGCAGGCGGGUCCUGUAAGUCGGAAGUGAAAUUUCGGAGCUCAACUCCGAAGCUGCUUCUGAUACUGCGGAUCUGGAGACCGGUAGAGGCUGGUAGAAUUACAGGUGUAGCGGUGGAAUGCGUAGAUAUCUGUAAGAAUACCCGUGGCGAAGGCGGCCAGCUGGGCCGGGUCUGACGCUGAGGCGCGAAAGCGUGGGGAGCAAACAGGAUUAGAUACCCUGGUAGUCCACGCCGUAAACGAUGGGCACUAGGUGCCGGGGGGGAGCGACCCCUUCGGU
RNAcentral lists this ribosomal RNA (861 nucleotides) under uncultured Gemmatimonadota bacterium. RNAcentral's name for it is "bacterial SSU rRNA". It matches the Rfam family "Bacterial small subunit ribosomal RNA", at positions 8 to 844 of the family's 1533-position model. The record is from RNAcentral. Lineage: Bacteria; Pseudomonadati; Gemmatimonadota.